Molecule: ribosomal RNA, 1423 nt
Filed under: Lactobacillus helveticus
Lineage: Bacteria; Bacillati; Bacillota; Bacilli; Lactobacillales; Lactobacillaceae
Description: bacterial SSU rRNA
Rfam family: Bacterial small subunit ribosomal RNA
Source: RNAcentral
GAACCAGCAGAUUUACUUCGGUAAUGACGCUGGGGACGCGAGCGGCGGAUGGGUGAGUAACACGUGGGGAACCUGCCCCAUAGUCUGGGAUACCACUUGGAAACAGGUGCUAAUACCGGAUAAUAAAGCAGAUCGCAUGAUCAGCUUAUAAAAGGCGGCGUAAGCUGUCGCUAUGGGAUGGCCCCGCGGUGCAUUAGCUAGUUGGUAAGGUAACGGCUUACCAAGGCAAUGAUGCAUAGCCGAGUUGAGAGACUGAACGGCCACAUUGGGACUGAGACACGGCCCAAACUCCUACGGGAGGCAGCAGUAGGGAAUCUUCCACAAUGGACGCAAGUCUGAUGGAGCAACGCCGCGUGAGUGAAGAAGGUUUUCGGAUCGUAAAGCUCUGUUGUUGGUGAAGAAGGAUAGAGGCAGUAACUGGCCUUUAUUUGACGGUAAUCAACCAGAAAGUCACGGCUAACUACGUGCCAGCAGCCGCGGUAAUACGUAGGUGGCAAGCGUUGUCCGGAUUUAUUGGGCGUAAAGCGAGCGCAGGCGGAAGAAUAAGUCUGAUGUGAAAGCCCUCGGCUUAACCGAGGAAUUGCAUCGGAAACUGUUUUUCUUGAGUGCAGAAGAGGAGAGUGGAACUCCAUGUGUAGCGGUGGAAUGCGUAGAUAUAUGGAAGAACACCAGUGGCGAAGGCGGCUCUCUGGUCUGCAACUGACGCUGAGGCUCGAAAGCAUGGGUAGCGAACAGGAUUAGAUACCCUGGUAGUCCAUGCCGUAAACGAUGAGUGCUAAGUGUUGGGAGGUUUCCGCCUCUCAGUGCUGCAGCUAACGCAUUAAGCACUCCGCCUGGGGAGUACGACCGCAAGGUUGAAACUCAAAGGAAUUGACGGGGGCCCGCACAAGCGGUGGAGCAUGUGGUUUAAUUCGAAGCAACGCGAAGAACCUUACCAGGUCUUGACAUCUAGUGCCAUCCUAAGAGAUUAGGAGUUCCCUUCGGGGACGCUAAGACAGGUGGUGCAUGGCUGUCGUCAGCUCGUGUCGUGAGAUGUUGGGUUAAGUCCCGCAACGAGCGCAACCCUUAUUAUUAGUUGCCAGCAUUAAGUUGGGCACUCUAAUGAGACUGCCGGUGACAAACCGGAGGAAGGUGGGGAUGACGUCAAGUCAUCAUGCCCCUUAUGACCUGGGCUACACACGUGCUACAAUGGGCAGUACAACGAGAAGCGAGCCUGCGAAGGCAAGCGAAUCUCUGAAAGCUGUUCUCAGUUCGGACUGCAGUCUGCAACUCGACUGCACGAAGCUGGAAUCGCUAGUAAUCGCGGAUCAGAACGCCGCGGUGAAUACGUUCCCGGGCCUUGUACACACCGCCCGUCACACCAUGGAAGUCUGCAAUGCCCAAAGCCGGUGGCCUAACCUUCGGGAAGGAGCCGUCUAAGGCA